Molecule: ribosomal RNA, 117 nt
Filed under: Bacillus pumilus
Lineage: Bacteria; Bacillati; Bacillota; Bacilli; Caryophanales; Bacillaceae
Also listed under: 1 other name
Source: RNAcentral
UCUGGUGAUGAUGGCGAAGAGGUCACACCCGUUCCCAUACCGAACACGGAAGUUAAGCUCUUCAGCGCCGAUGGUAGUUGGGGGGUCUCCCCCUGUGAGAGUAGGACAUCGCCAGGC